UAUAUAUAAAAAAGAAGAUGUGGCAUGAUUGCCAAUGAGACAACUAUCCACAAAAGACCAAAAUGACACAAACAUUAACAAUUAUAGGUCACCGUACGGCCUUCAACAAUGAGCAAAGCCCAUACCGCAUAUAGUCAGCUAUAAAAGGCCCCGAUAAGACAAUGUAAAACAAUUCAAACGAGAAAACUAACGGCCUUAUUUAUGUAAAAAAAAAAAAAUGAACGAAAAACAAAUAUGUAACACUUAAACAAACGACAACCACUGAAUUACAGGCUCCUGACUUGGGAAAGGCACAUACAUAAAUAAUGUGGCGGGG
Molecule: long non-coding RNA, 316 nt
Filed under: Mytilus galloprovincialis (Mediterranean mussel)
Lineage: Eukaryota; Metazoa; Mollusca; Bivalvia; Mytilida; Mytilidae
Source: RNAcentral